CCCUUAGAUGCUCUGGGCCGCACGCGCGCUACACUGGUCGAUGCAACGAGUUUCUUUCCUUGGCCGACAGGCCUGGGCAAUCUUUGAACAUCGAUCGUGAUCGGGAUAGAUUCUUGUAAUUUUUGAUCUUAAACGAGGAAUUCCUAGUAAACGCAAGUCAUCAGCUUGCAUUGAUUACGUCCCUGCCCUUUGUACACACCGCCCGUCGCACCUACCGAUUGAAUGGUCCGAUGAAAUCUCCGGACUGGCGUGAGUCGGAGCAAUCUGACAAACGCCGGAAAGUUGAUUAAACCUUACCAUUUAGAGGAAGGUGAAGUCGUAACA
RNAcentral lists this ribosomal RNA (324 nucleotides) under uncultured eukaryote. RNAcentral describes it as "partial 18S ribosomal RNA". It matches the Rfam family "Eukaryotic small subunit ribosomal RNA", at positions 1470 to 1796 of the family's 1831-position model. The record is from RNAcentral.